Molecule: long non-coding RNA, 788 nt
Filed under: Equus asinus (donkey)
Lineage: Eukaryota; Metazoa; Chordata; Mammalia; Perissodactyla; Equidae
Description: lncRNA (ENSEASG00005037641.1)
Source: RNAcentral
AAAAAGGAGAAUUUGGGACACAGAGACAGACACACACACAGGAAGAACGCCAUGUGAAGACUGAAGUUAUGCUGCCACAAGACAAUGAACUACCAGAAGCUAGAAGAGAGGUCUAGAACAAAUCCAUUCUAGAACCUUCACAGAGAUUAUGUCCCUGGGGACACCUUGAUCUUGAACUUUUGGCCUCCAGAAUUAUCCACCACAGAGGCAAGACAUGCUAAAUAUAUGCUUUCCCUUGCAACCAGGGUGAGCCAUAUGACAUACUUCUAAAGAAAAGCUAUGAAGAUCAGAGGGGACUGAGAUGAAUUCUAACGUGGAGCCACAGCUUUGGGGAAAUUAACGAUAUCAUUCAAGAAAUGCCAAUAAUUGAGAACUGGCUCUAGAGUUAUUAACGAAGUCGGCGCUUUCUACUUUCAGACCAUAGUUUAACAAAGCAUUUCAAAGUACUGCUGAUGGAAGCUCCACCUGAAACCUGUUCUCCCAGAUAAGUAUCUUCAUCCCAUUCAUCGUUUCAAGAAAAGAAAUCUUACUGCAUGGCAGCAUUUUCAUCUGCUUUGGUUUCAGCUAGAGAUAAAUUGUGCCUGCUGCAAACUAAUUAGUAUCAGUCACCUAGAAAGCAGAAAUUGCAAGACAACAGGCUUCUCUUUCUUGAUAAACAGAUUGCUGGGUAAGUGAUGCACAUGGAUGUGACAAUUCAUUUGGCCAUAGAAAUAGCAGCAAUGAGACUUUUUGGACAGAUAUUUGGAAGGCAUGGGCAAAUCUCCCCAGCUUCCUCCGUUUGAGCGCAG